AGGAUAAUAGUUUACUAAAACACUAAGUUUGCACUUUAAAAAUAUUGGAAUCACCAAUUUAUCUUU
RNAcentral lists this transfer RNA (66 nucleotides) under Elateroidea sp. BMNH 1274729. RNAcentral describes it as "tRNA-Ala". It matches the Rfam family "tRNA". Rfam says of the family: Transfer RNA (tRNA) molecules are approximately 80 nucleotides in length. The record is from RNAcentral. Lineage: Eukaryota; Metazoa; Arthropoda; Insecta; Coleoptera.